GAUGAACGCUAGCUACAGGCUUAACACAUGCAAGUCGAGGGGAAACGACAUCGCAAGCUUGCUUUUGAUGGGCGUCGACCGGCGCACGGGUGAGUAACGCGUAUCCAACCUGCCCACCACUUGGGGAUAACCUUGCGAAAGUAAGACUAAUACCCAAUGAUAUCUCUAGAAGACAUCUGAAAGAGAUUAAAGAUUUAUCGGUGAUGGAUGGGGAUGCGUCUGAUUAGCUUGUUGGCGGGGUAACGGCCCACCAAGGCAACGAUCAGUAGGGGUUCUGAGAGGAAGGUCCCCCACAUUGGAACUGAGACACGGUCCAAACUCCUACGGGAGGCAGCAGUGAGGAAUAGUGGUCAAUGGACGAGAGUCUGAACCAGCCAAGUAGCGUGCAGGAAGACGGCCCUAGGGGUGGUAAACUGCUUUUAUAAGGGAAUAAAGUGAGUCUCGGGAGACUUUUUGCAUGUACCUUAUGAAUAAGGACCGGCUAAUUCCGUG
This 492-nucleotide ribosomal RNA is filed under the name uncultured bacterium. RNAcentral describes it as "partial 16S ribosomal RNA". It matches the Rfam family "Bacterial small subunit ribosomal RNA", at positions 28 to 507 of the family's 1533-position model. The record is from RNAcentral.